UCCCACAAAUUCAUCUCCCUCCUCCAAGACUUUCCAUGCAAUUGGUUCCUUCCUUCAAGGAGAGGAUGAUACAGUUGAGGCUGCGGAGAUUUUUCAUGAAAAAGGGUGGAAGACCACACCAAGGAUGGUCCUGGGGACGGGCGAGGAGCAGCACCAGUGGGACAGAGCGCUGUGGAAGGACUUUCCUUGGAAAAGGAACGAGCAGCUCGUGCCUCGAGCCUCCCACCCCGAGCCCAAAGCACUCAAGGAGCUCGUUUGUCAACAGGCAGGAGCCUUUGAUUCCCCUCAUCCCUCCGGGAAGAUCAGACGGCAGGCGGUGUGUGGUGGGAGCAGCAUAUGCCACGGCAGAUGGCACCGACGCAAUUCCAGGGGAGUGAAAUCACUCAUCUGCUCUCCCCUGCCUUUGGACAGACCGGGAAUGCUGCGGGAGAGGAAAGGGAGAUGGAGCGACCAGGGAAAAUUAGCAUUCAAAAAUACAAUAUCUGCAGAGAGGGAACUGAGCAGCCUCUGCAAAAAGCCAUCAACUACGAAAGCUGGGGAAAAACCCUUUUCACUGCCCUCAUCCUUGUGGAUUCUUCCUGCCUUCUCCAGCAGAAUGGAAGAGACUCCUUGCAUGAUGUUAUCACCUGUCCUGCCAGAGAAUCCACAUCCUAAUCUCAUCAGACCUCUGCAUAAUACCCCCUGUG
Molecule: long non-coding RNA, 686 nt
Organism: Neopelma chrysocephalum (saffron-crested tyrant-manakin)
Lineage: Eukaryota; Metazoa; Chordata; Aves; Passeriformes; Pipridae
Exons: 3
Source: RefSeq, a predicted model, not a curated record